This 1522-nucleotide ribosomal RNA is filed under the name Cronobacter dublinensis subsp. lactaridi LMG 23825. Its description in RNAcentral is "bacterial SSU rRNA". It matches the Rfam family "Bacterial small subunit ribosomal RNA". The record is from RNAcentral. Lineage: Bacteria; Pseudomonadati; Pseudomonadota; Gammaproteobacteria; Enterobacterales; Enterobacteriaceae.
AGAGUUUGAUCAUGGCUCAGAUUGAACGCUGGCGGCAGGCCUAACACAUGCAAGUCGGGCGGUAGCACAGGGAGCUUGCUCCCGGGUGACGAGCGGCGGACGGGUGAGUAAUGUCUGGGAAACUGCCUGAUGGAGGGGGAUAACUACUGGAAACGGUAGCUAAUACCGCAUAAUGUCUUCGGACCAAAGUGGGGGACCUUCGGGCCUCAUGCCAUCAGAUGUGCCCAGAUGGGAUUAGCUAGUAGGUGGGGUAAAGGCUCACCUAGGCGACGAUCCCUAGCUGGUCUGAGAGGAUGACCAGCCACACUGGAACUGAGACACGGUCCAGACUCCUACGGGAGGCAGCAGUGGGGAAUAUUGCACAAUGGGCGCAAGCCUGAUGCAGCCAUGCCGCGUGUAUGAAGAAGGCCUUCGGGUUGUAAAGUACUUUCAGCGAGGAGGAAGGUGUUGUGGUUAAUAACCACAGCAAUUGACGUUACUCGCAGAAGAAGCACCGGCUAACUCCGUGCCAGCAGCCGCGGUAAUACGGAGGGUGCAAGCGUUAAUCGGAAUUACUGGGCGUAAAGCGCACGCAGGCGGUUUGUUAAGUCAGAUGUGAAAUCCCCGGGCUCAACCUGGGAACUGCAUUUGAAACUGGCAAGCUUGAGUCUCGUAGAGGGGGGUAGAAUUCCAGGUGUAGCGGUGAAAUGCGUAGAGAUCUGGAGGAAUACCGGUGGCGAAGGCGGCCCCCUGGACGAAGACUGACGCUCAGGUGCGAAAGCGUGGGGAGCAAACAGGAUUAGAUACCCUGGUAGUCCACGCCGUAAACGAUGUCGACUUGGAGGUUGUGCCCUUGAGGCGUGGCUUCCGGAGCUAACGCGUUAAGUCGACCGCCUGGGGAGUACGGCCGCAAGGUUAAAACUCAAAUGAAUUGACGGGGGCCCGCACAAGCGGUGGAGCAUGUGGUUUAAUUCGAUGCAACGCGAAGAACCUUACCUGGUCUUGACAUCCAGAGAAUCCUGCAGAGAUGCGGGAGUGCCUUCGGGAACUCUGAGACAGGUGCUGCAUGGCUGUCGUCAGCUCGUGUUGUGAAAUGUUGGGUUAAGUCCCGCAACGAGCGCAACCCUUAUCCUUUGUUGCCAGCACGUGAUGGUGGGAACUCAAAGGAGACUGCCGGUGAUAAACCGGAGGAAGGUGGGGAUGACGUCCAAGUCAUCAUGGCCCUUACGACCAGGGCUACACACGUGCUACAAUGGCGCAUACAAAGAGAAGCGACCUCGCGAGAGCAAGCGGACCUCAUAAAGUGCGUCGUAGUCCGGAUUGGAGUCUGCAACUCGACUCCAUGAAGUCGGAAUCGCUAGUAAUCGUGGAUCAGAAUGCCACGGUGAAUACGUUCCCGGGCCUUGUACACACCGCCCGUUACACCAUGGGAGUGGGUUGCAAAAGAAGUAGGUAGCUUAACCUUCGGGAGGGCGCUUACCACUUUGUGAUUCAUGACUGGGGUGAAGUCGUAACAAGGUAACCGUAGGGGAACCUGCGGUUG